UUUUUGGAGAGUUUGAUCUUGGCUCAGGACGAACGCUGGCGGCGUGCCUAAUACAUGCAAGUCGAGCGCGGGAAGCAGACAAACGCUCUUCGGGGCGUGCGCCUGUGGAGCGAGCGGCGGACGGGUGAGUAACACGUGGGCAACCUGCCUGUAAGACUGGGAUAACUCGUGGAAACGCGAGCUAAUACCGGAUAACACUUCCGGCUGCAUGGCCGGGAGUUGAAAGGCGGCAUAAGCUGCGCACUUACAGAUGGGCCCGCGGCGCAUUAGUUAGUUGGUGAGGUAAGAGCUCACCAAGGCCACGAUGCGUAGCCGACCUGAGAGGGUGAUCGGCCACACUGGGACUGAGACACGGCCCAGACUCCUACGGGAG
RNAcentral lists this ribosomal RNA (373 nucleotides) under Lentibacillus salicampi. RNAcentral describes it as "Bacterial small subunit ribosomal RNA". It matches the Rfam family "Bacterial small subunit ribosomal RNA", at positions 1 to 347 of the family's 1533-position model. Lineage: Bacteria; Bacillati; Bacillota; Bacilli; Caryophanales; Bacillaceae. The record is from Rfam by way of RNAcentral.